UUUUAGCCCGUGUUCACAAAACAUGCACACAACACACUAAACACAAUACACUAGACACACAGUAUCAGGGUGGUUUCCAAAUCACUAGGCUAAUCAGCCUUGAAUUCUCAACAUUUUCAAAUGCAAAAGUCGUGUUGGGGGGUGCUGAUGCUGAAUGGGGACUGUGACAUGGAAUUCUCUUUCCUCUGAACAGCCAAGGCUUUACUCUCUUCUACUCCUACCCGGAGAAGGUAAAGCAUGUAGUGACCUCAGGGACUGCUUACCCCUUAAGGAUUUACUUCCAGGGGUGCGUGUGAAAGUCCUCCCGCCUUCUGUCUGGUGCGAGGUCUUUCUAGACAUAAUGACCAGGUUCAGGCAAGGCUAUAAAUUCACUCAUUUUCCCUGCAAGGCAUUUGCAAAGAAUGCAGGAGAGUGAGAGUGGAAAGAAAAGGCAGAGAGAAAGAUGGCUGUGAUUGUCACAUCCCUAGCCGGGCCAAGCCCCAAAGUCUGCGCCUUGAGGCAGCCUCAGAGCCUGGCCGCCAUCUCUCUGUAGGAAACAGAACAUCUGAUCAAGUUCAGAGGCGCCAGGAGAGACCGCCUCAAGCAGCGCUUUAUAACUGCAGCCUUUCACUUCCUGCUCCCCAAUCUGCCUGGCCCAGCCAACACUUCACCUUCUUUCUUAGCCGGUUUGCUGGGAGAAAACCCUACCGGUAGCACAUCUUACCGUAUUCACCCCCUCCCAUCAAACUCGCCCCAAUUCUCUCUCCACAUCCAGAGCUCUCUCCCCAGGUUGGAAGACGGAGUUUUACUCUUGCUGCCCAGGCUGGAGUGCAAUGGUAUGAUCCUGGCUCACCGCAACCUCCGCCUCCCAGGUUCAAGUGAUUCUCCUGCCUCAGCUUCCCAAGUAGCUGGGAUUACAGAUAAGAGAAAGGCCAGAUCCAACAAACAUUGACUGAGCCAUCACCAAAUGUGGGGCCCCGCGGCAGAGACUCGAAGGGUCGUUCUGCAUAAAAAAGUUGAUGACAGCAUAGCUUCGUUUAUACAGCUGGGACCCUCUGGAGUCUACAGAUGGAUUGUUAGAGAUGUGGCCUGCCAGCUGCCUUUGGAGAGUAGCCAAAUCUGCUGGGACCCAGCCACUUCAGGCACAGAUGUGCUUGCCUUUCCUGAAUGGAUGUCUUCCAGAAACGUUGGCUGUGAUGUCUGGUUUUUGUAUCUAUUGUUACUUCCAACGAAGACACAUAUACAAAAGACUCCUGGCUGCCUUUUAAAUGAAAACGUGCAGCAUAUUAGGAUCAAUCAUUUGUCUAAUGUUGUCUAGGAUCCAAUAUGAAGGAACAGCUCCUCUCACGAAUACUGUUGGUCUCCUGGAUGGAGAAAGGAAUGUGGUGAACCGUGAGCUGACUCUCAGGGCCUUUGUUCAGAACAUUUUACUUCUGUUCAUAUGUCAUAGGACAAAGCAAAUUAUAUGACUGAGCUGGAUGCAAAUGGGGAGGGGAAGAGGACUCUUCCCACAGGGAGGGGCAUAAGUCACACAGCUAAGGCUGAUGUCAACAGGGCAGGGAUGUAUAAUCCUCCCAUAGGGAGGAGUAGCUAAUAUUUUGAACAAUAUUAUAAUCCACCACAGUGACCUCGGGCAUGUCACUUGACCUUUUUGUGCCUUGGUUUUCUCAUUGUUAAAAUGCAAAUAAUAAUAGAGCUUACCUCAUAGGGCUGAUAUGAGGAUUAAAAUGACUUAAUUCUCGUAGAGCAUUUAAAAUCCUGCCUAGUACACAAUAAAUGCUAGAUAAGUGGUUGCUAAAUAAAAAUAAAUACAAUGUUUGUCCACACAAUUGUUUCCUCUUGCUAUGGUGAAAAUCAUGUAUUCCAUGCUUUAUUAUUACAUGCCUAGAAACGAAGAUACUUUGCCUACAGGCAUUUAAAAACAAGACAUUUCUGUUUUUAAAAGCCUGUGGCUUUAAAAUUAAGGCUUCCAAAGUUGUGUCAUUGCUUAAACUUCUUGAGAAAUGUCCCUAUCAUGGCUUGCAGUCUGAUUAGUUCUUUCUGGAAAAGAGAAGAGAUUCUGUGUGGUAGGAAUAGGACAGCAGGUGGUGGUAGCAUAAAACAGAAGAAAAGCUGCACAGCUGAAAAAGGAUGGAAACCAAAAGGUCCAAAAACCUGCUCUCAGCUGUGAUAGAAGCAGCAUCACAGGAACCCAGUUAUAUGAGCUGCUGUCUGAGUGGCCACCACCUUUGGCGGGGGAAAAAAGGAUUUCUAUUCACAUUAUGCUUUUCUUUUUUUCCCUGCUAUACUCUGAGUGCCCAGUUGUGUACUUUGACUGAAAUACUGCUCACUCGGUAUGCCUGUUAAUCCCCUCUAGCAACAUUGAACAUCCACCUGGGAUUCACUAAAAGCACUGAAAGUUGUUUUGCUCAGUCAUCUGGCUUCCUGAGUUUAAAAAGGUAACAAUUGAUCCACACCUGAAAACAAAUCAGAAAAAAAAUGUAUCUAUAGACAAAAAAACCUAGCCUGCUCCACACCUCUUCCAAUCCCUACUAAAAGAACAACUACUUGUAUGAAGACUGGGAGGGAAAAUAUUUGAUUUUUUUUCUUAUAAGCCCUGCUUUGCACAAAAGAGAACUUAAUAAAUGCAUAUGAUAUUAAACUUCUCAUUAAAUAUCUUACAUCUUUUCUACGUAUAUUCUGGGAUCUCUAAGGUGCCUUCCAGUCCUGGAGCUUCUAUACUGGAUAUAAAUAUUACAUAAAGCCUCACUGUAGGAGUGAGGGGCUCUCUAAUUUCUCGCUGUCUAUAACCAUUUAUGCUCUACAAUCUUAAAUUAGAAUACAGUCACCCAUUUCACAGGUGGCUUAGCCAGAAAGGAUCAUCCUAUUUCCAAAAGUCUGUAAACUUGAUUAUAAACCACAGACCUCUUCAGCCCUGAGAAUUGAUAGCAAGCCUACAGUAACUACCACAGCUGACAUUCAUCAAUCACUUUUACCAUAAACCAGGCACAUGAAUUAUUUCAUUUAAUCUUCCCAAUGAAUAAGAAUUAAUCAUCGCUAUUUCACAAAUGAAGAAACGCAGUAACCAAGAAAUAACGUAAAUUGCUCAAAGUUCACAUAAAGUGAUGAUUGAGCACUUGGAUUCUGAAAUUAGACUGCUGGAUUACAGAGACUCAUUUAAUCAUUUUUUAAAAUACGACAAAUUAUUGCUAACUAUAGUCACCCUAUUGUGCUACAAAAUACUAGAUCUUAUCCGUUCCACAUUGUUGCAAGCCUUUCCACCUCUGGCUGAGUUCCAGGAGAUUUAAAGAGCUAGCACCUAUAAAAACUUUUUUUUUUUUUUCAAAUAAAAAAAUCAUUAGGACCUAGGGCUAGGUGAAGAGUUUUUAGACUUAACACCAAAAGUAUGAUCCCUAACUGAAAAGUUUGACAUUUUUGACCUCAUAAAAAUAAAAUACUUUCGCUACAUUGAAUAUUCUAUUAAGAACACAAAAAGACAAGCUACAUAGUGGGAGAAAAUCUUUGCAAACCUCAUAGUGGAAAAGGACAGGUAUCUAGACUACAUAAAAAUUUUCUAAAACCCAACAAUGAGAAAACAACCCAAUUAAAAAAUAGGCAAAAUAUCUGAACAGAUACCUCACUAAAGAAGACAUAUGAAGGCAAAUAAGGUGCAUGAAAAGGCAUUCAACAUCAUUAGCCAUUAAGGAAAUUCAAAUUAAAACCACAAUGAGAUAUCAAUACACACAAAUCAAGAGAGCUAAAAUAAAAACUUGUGGCAACAACAAAUGCUGAUGAGAAUGCUGAGAAACUGGAUCACUCAUACAUUAUGUGUGGGAAUGUAAAAUCAUACAACUGCUCUGGAAAAUCACUUGGCAGUUCCUUUUAAAAUUUAAGUGGGCUUACCAUAUGACUCAGACCUUGUACUUGCCAAUGAAAACUUAUAUUAUUGUACAAAUCUGUACACAGAAGUUCAUAGAUGCUUUAUUUAUAAUAGCUCCAAACUGGAGAUAACUAAGACCUUAGAUGGUUAUAUGGUUAAAGAAGCUGUGGUACAUCCAUCACAUGGAAUUACUGAACAAUUAAAAGGAAUGAACUAUUGAUUCAAGCAGCAACUUGGAUAUAUCUCCAGGGAAUUAUACUGAGUAAAAAAAAGGUAAUCUCAAAAGAGCACAUACUAUAUGAUUCAAUUCAUAAAACAUUCUUGAAAUAAUACAAUUAUAGAGAUGGGGAAUGGAUUAGUGGUUGCCAGAUGCUAGGAAUGGUGGGAGAAAUGAUAUGGGUGUGAUUAUAAAGUAGUAGCAGGAGGGAGGUCUUUGUGGUAAUGGAAUAGUUCUGUGCCUUAAUUGUGGUCAUGCUUCUAUGAAUCUACACAUCGUAAAAUGAAACAUAUAUAUACAUUGUUCAAUGUCAGCUUCUGGUUUUGAUAUUGUACUAAAAUUACAUAAGAUAUAAACAUUGGGAGAAACUGGAUGAAGGGAACACAGGCUCUUCCUGUACAUUUUUAAUAACUUCCUGUGAAUCUACAAUUACUUAAAAAUAAAAUGUUUUUUAAAACUUUGUUAAAUAAAAUGUUGGAAGCAAAGCUGGAAUUUGAAUGUCAGUUUGUCUUGAGUCUAAAGUUAAGCUGUAUAAUAAUAGUGAAUAUCUAUUAAGUGAUUAGACUAGGUACUAUUAAGUACCUUGCCAGACAUCACACAGUUAGAAAGUGACAGUGCAGGACUAGAAACCAAGUCUGAGUCCAC
RNAcentral lists this long non-coding RNA (4700 nucleotides) under Papio anubis (olive baboon). Its description in RNAcentral is "lncRNA (ENSPANG00000036962.1)". Lineage: Eukaryota; Metazoa; Chordata; Mammalia; Primates; Cercopithecidae. The record is from RNAcentral.